AGAGUUUGAUUCUGGCUCAGGACGAACGCUGGCGGCGUGCUUAACACAUGCAAGUUGAACGGGCGGAUAUGGAAGCUUGCUGAAGUAUCUGUUAGUAGCGGACGGGUGAGUAAUGCAUGAGAAGCUGCCAUCGGGAGGGGGACAACAGUUGGAAACGGCUGCUAAUACCCCGUAUGCCGGAAGGUGAAAGGGAGCGAUCCGCCCGAUGAGGUGCUCAUGUCCUAUCAGCUGGUUGGUGGGGUAACGGCCUACCAAGGCGACGACGGGUAGCCGGCCUGAGAGGGUGAACGGCCACACUGGAACUGAGAUACGGUCCAGACUCCUACGGGAGGCAGCAGUGGGGAAUAUUGGGCAAUGGGGGAAACCCUGACCCAGCGACGCCGCGUGAGGGAAGACGGCCUUCGGGUUGUAAACCUCUUUUGUACGGGAAGAAGGACGUGACGGUACUGUACGAAUAAGUCCCGGCUAACUACGUGCCAGCAGCCGCGGUAAUACGUAGGGGACGAGCGUUGUCCGGAAUUACUGGGCGUAAAGGGCGCGCAGGCUGUGCUGCAAGUCGGCUGUUAAAGGCUGGGGCUUAACCCUGGUAUGCGGUUGAGACUGCAGUACUGGAGUGCUGUAGAGGCAAGUGGAAUUCCCGGUGUAGCGGUGAAAUGCGUAGAUAUUGGGAAGAACACCGGUGGCGAAGGCGACUUGCUGGGCAGCAACUGACGCUGAGGCGCGAAAGCCAGGGGAGCGAACGGGAUUAGAUACCCUGGUAGUC
RNAcentral lists this ribosomal RNA (763 nucleotides) under Aminobacterium sp. enrichment culture. Its description in RNAcentral is "bacterial SSU rRNA". It matches the Rfam family "Bacterial small subunit ribosomal RNA", at positions 8 to 795 of the family's 1533-position model. Lineage: Bacteria; Thermotogati; Synergistota; Synergistia; Synergistales; Aminobacteriaceae. The record is from RNAcentral.